Molecule: ribosomal RNA, 407 nt
Filed under: uncultured bacterium
Lineage: Bacteria
Description: partial 16S ribosomal RNA
Rfam family: Bacterial small subunit ribosomal RNA
Source: RNAcentral
AUUGAACGCUAGCGGGAUGCCUUACACAUGCAAGUCGAACGGAGUGGCGGACGGGUGAGUAAUAUAUCGGAAAGUGCCCAGUAGCGGGGGAUAACUACUCGAAAGAGUGGCUAAUACCGCAUACCAUCGGAGCGGCCGAUAUCGGAUUAGCUAGUUGGUGGGGUAACGGCUCACCAAGGCAACGAUCCGUAGCUGGUUUGAGAGGAUGACCAGCCACACUGGGACUGAGACACGGCCCAGACUCCUACGGGAGGCAGCAGUGGGGAAUUUUGGACAAUGGGUGAAAGCCUGAUGCAGCCAUCCCGCGUGUAUGAUGAAGGCCUUCGGGUUGUAAAGUACUUUUGGCGGAGAAGCGGUAUCUGCAGAAUAAGCACCGGCUAACUACGUGCCAGCAGCCGCGGUAAUAC